CCUACGGGGGACAGCAGUGGGGAAUAUUGCGCAAUGGGCGAAAGCCUGACGCAGCGACGCCGCGUGAGGGAUGAAGGUCUUCGGAUUGUAAACCUCUGUCAGCAGGGAAGAACGGUCACUGUGCUAAUCAGCAGUGAAUUGACGGUACCUGCAAAGGAAGCACCGCAUAACUCCGUGCCAGCAGCAGAGGUAAGACGGAGGGUGCGAGCGUUAAUCGGAUUUACUGGGCGUAAAGGGCUCGUAGGCGGUAUGUCAAGUCAAGGGUGAAAGCCCCGGGCUCAACGUGGGAACUGCAUUUGAAACUGGCAACCUGGAGUGUAGGAGAGGAUAGUGGAAUUCCAGGUGUAGGAGUGAAAUCCGUAGAUAUCUGGAGGAACAUCAGUGGCGAAGGCGACUAUCUGGCACAUAACUGACGCUGAGGAGCGAAAGCGUGGGUAGCAAACAGGAUUAGAUACCCGAGUAGUC
RNAcentral lists this ribosomal RNA (465 nucleotides) under uncultured bacterium. RNAcentral describes it as "partial 16S ribosomal RNA". It matches the Rfam family "Bacterial small subunit ribosomal RNA", at positions 338 to 795 of the family's 1533-position model. The record is from RNAcentral.